RNAcentral lists this ribosomal RNA (478 nucleotides) under uncultured bacterium. Its description in RNAcentral is "partial 16S ribosomal RNA". It matches the Rfam family "Bacterial small subunit ribosomal RNA", at positions 28 to 507 of the family's 1533-position model. The record is from RNAcentral.
GAUGAACGCUGGCGGCGUGCUUAACACAUGCAAGUCGAACGGGAAACCUUUUAUUGAAGCUUCGGCAGAUUUAGCUGGUUUCUAGUGGCGGACGGGUGAGUAACGCGUGGGUAACCUGCCCUAUACAGGGGGAUAACAACCAGAAAUGGUUGCUAAUACCGCAUAAGCGCACAGGGCCGCAUGGUCCGGUGUGAAAAACUCCGGUGGUAUAGGAUGGACCCGCGUUGGAUUAGCCAGUUGGCAGGGUAACGGCCUACCAAAGCGACGAUCCAUAGCCGGCCUGAGAGGGUGAACGGCCACAUUGGGACUGAGACACGGCCCAGACUCCUACGGGAGGCAGCAGUGGGGAAUAUUGCACAAUGGGGGAAACCCUGAUGCAGCGACGCCGCGUGAAGGAAGAAGUAUCUAGGUAUGUAAACUUCUAUCAGCAGGGAAGAUAGUGACGGUACCUGACUAAGAAGCCCCGGCUAACUACGUG